UUGCAGCCUGCAACUCGGCUGCAUGAAGCUGGAAUCGCUAGUAAUCGCGGAUCAGAAUGCCGCGGUGAAUACGUUCCCGGGUCUUGUACACACCGCCCGUCACACCAUGGGAGUCGGGAAUGCCCGAAGUCAGUGACCCAACCGGAAAGGGGGGAGCUGCCGAAGGCAGGCCUGGUAACUGGGGUGAAGUCGUAACAAGGUAUC
RNAcentral lists this ribosomal RNA (204 nucleotides) under uncultured bacterium. Its description in RNAcentral is "partial 16S ribosomal RNA". It matches the Rfam family "Bacterial small subunit ribosomal RNA", at positions 1298 to 1500 of the family's 1533-position model. The record is from RNAcentral.